This 483-nucleotide ribosomal RNA is filed under the name uncultured Paracoccaceae bacterium. Its description in RNAcentral is "bacterial SSU rRNA". It matches the Rfam family "Bacterial small subunit ribosomal RNA", at positions 8 to 526 of the family's 1533-position model. The record is from RNAcentral. Lineage: Bacteria; Pseudomonadati; Pseudomonadota; Alphaproteobacteria; Rhodobacterales; Paracoccaceae.
AGAGUUUGAUCCUGGCUCAGAACGAACGCUGGCGGCAGGCCUAACACAUGCAAGUCGAGCGCCCGCAAGGGAGCGGCGGACGGGUGAGUAACGCGUGGGAACGUGCCUUCCUCUUCGGAAUAGCCCUGGGAAACUGGGGGUAAUACCGGAUACGGCCCCCAGUCUUGGAGAUCGGGGGCGAAAGAUUUAUCGGGGGAAGAUCGGCCCGCGCUGGAUUAGGUAGUUGGUGGGGUAAUGGCCUACCAAGCCGACGAUCCAUAGCUGGUUUGAGAGGAUGAUCAGCCACACUGGGACUGAGACACGGCCCAGACUCCUACGGGAGGCAGCAGUGGGGAAUCUUAGACAAUGGGCGCAAGCCUGAUCUAGCCAUGCCGCGUGAGCGAUGAAGGCCUUAGGGUUGUAAAGCUCUUUCGUGGGGGAAGAUAAUGACUGUACCCCAAGAAGAAGCCCCGGCUAACUCCGUGCCAGCAGCCGCGGUAAUAC